AAGGUUGUGCUAAUUGCCGGCGAUGACAGCUGCGAUGCCACGUUUAUCCUUUUUGGGAGGAUUGCACAUCGUCUUAUCAGAAGGCCGGUCGAAUCUCUGAUUGAAGACAAUCCACCAAACAGUGAAUACAUUCCAAGUGAAAUCGCAGCACUUAUUGAUGGCAAGUUUGUAUGGAAUGUCAGCUUCACGCGUAAUACUGUGAAACGAAGUCAGGAAUCACUUCAGGUCAACAGCAUUGUGUCCACUGCCUCCUCAGGUCACAGCCUGCUGCUCAUGCCCCCAGAUACUUCACAGGCAACAUCAGCUAUUGUAUCAGCAGGCUCAAGUAGCUCAGUUCAAAUAGCACCACCAGUAAGUGAAACAAGCACUGGAUCACACCAAGCUAUUGAGCCAGGCCACAAUGCUUCGACCCCAACAAAGCUAGCUAUCGGUUCCACAACACAUGACACGCCAACUAGCAAACCAUGCCAUUCAACACCAAGCAAGAAAAACAUAGUUGUUUCGAUGUGCCAUGUGCAAUCUGCCAGCCCUAGCCUUCCCACUGAUACUAAGGCUGAUGCAAAGGUUGAAGAGGACACCUCACAGCAUGCUUCUUCUACACCUCUUGUGGCUCACUCUGCUGAACAUAAGGAAAAACAGCCAGCCAAACAUGAAGAGAACAUCCCACAGACUAGCCCAUCAUCGCUUGCAAGCGCAAUAGCAAAGAAAAGAUCCAAACCUACAGUCGUAGCUCCAGCUUCUAAGAAACUCUUCAAGGACACUGCUGAAUAAUAGCAGGAUAUCAGACUGGACGCCCCUUCUACAUGCAGCUCAUCACCAGGUCUUUUGCUUUUCUAUAUAGAUGUAAGAUAUUAGCCCAGCCAAAUAGCAGAAGGAAGUCCCUAGCUUAGUUAGGGCUUAAAAUCAGACUCUUUUGUUCAUGGCUUUCGGCCCUGGUUAUUAUUGUAAGACCUGUUGCCUAUGUUUAUGCCUGUUGGUGUUCUAUAUUGUAAGCUACUCUAGCAACAAUA
Molecule: non-coding RNA, 1010 nt
Organism: Oryza sativa Japonica Group (Japanese rice)
Lineage: Eukaryota; Viridiplantae; Streptophyta; Magnoliopsida; Poales; Poaceae
Source: RefSeq, a predicted model, not a curated record